Molecule: ribosomal RNA, 497 nt
Filed under: uncultured bacterium
Lineage: Bacteria
Description: partial 16S ribosomal RNA
Rfam family: Bacterial small subunit ribosomal RNA
Source: RNAcentral
GAUGAACGCUGGCGGCGUGCCUAAUACAUGCAAGUCGAGCGAACAGACGAGGAGCUUGCUCCUCUGACGUUAGCGGCGGACGGGUGAGUAACACGAGGAUAACCUACUUAUCAGACUGGGAUAACUUCGGCAAAACGGAGCUAAUAACGGAUAAUAUAUUGAACCGCAUGGUUCAAUAGUGAAAGACGGUUUUGCUGUCACUUAUAGAUGGAUCCGCGCCGCAUUAGCUAGUUGGUAAGGUAACGGCUUACCAAGGCAACGAUGCGUAGCCGACCUGAGAGGGGGGUCGGCCACACUGGAGCUGAGACGCGGUCCAGACGCCUACGAGAGGCAGCAGUAGGGAAUCUUCCGGAAUGGGCGAAAGCCUGACGGAGCAACGCCGCGUGGGUGAUGAAGGUCUUCGGAUCGUAAAACUCUGUUAUUGGGGGAGAACAAAUGUGGAAGUAACUAUGCACGUCUUGACGGUACCUAAUCAGAAAGCCACGGCUAACUACGUG